This 332-nucleotide long non-coding RNA is filed under the name Gossypium barbadense (sea-island cotton). RNAcentral's name for it is "long non-coding RNA (GBAR_LNC004546)". Lineage: Eukaryota; Viridiplantae; Streptophyta; Magnoliopsida; Malvales; Malvaceae. The record is from RNAcentral.
AUUCCUCAAUUCUACCAGAUCUAGUUUGCAUCUUUUCCUCCAACCCGUCUAUUUCGCUAAUAUACCUGACUAUCCAUUCCGCAAUUUCUUUCCCAGUACUGUAUAAACUGAUUUCUUUUUGUCCAGAUCCCUCAUAUUGCACAGUAGAAUAAUCGACAUUGUAUACUAGUGCUAUUUCUAAAUAUCCAGGUAAUCCAUUCCCCACCAUUCAACUUUGAGUUUGGUAGUAUCCAAUUGAGAUUUAAAUUUUCCCAAACCUCUAAUGAUGUAGGGCAUUCCCUGAAAAUAUGGACAAUGUUUUCCGUUGCUCCACCUCAUCUGGGAUAAAGUGC